GGGGUUUCAGCUUGUAUACAUCAUACUUAAAUUUUAUUGGACGUUAUGUUUGAGGUUCAGGACACUAAAUUUUAAAACAUCACAUGACAAAUAUUCUCACAUGUUUCCUUACCUGUAAAUAUACAAUACAGUCAGGAUUCUACUUCGUCAAAAUAAUCUCCCCAUUACGGCAGUUCAUUUUCACAAUCGUAGAAAUGGAAACCAAUUUUUUUUUCGAACAUAUGCAUUUUCAUCAUCCGCCAACUUAAAGAUUGUCGUCAAAUACUUUUAGUAAAAUAGCUAUUCGAACACACCUACUCUGAUUUUGUGAUUCAUUGGAUAGGUAUUUCACUUGACCCCUACAUUUCAUCUUUUAGUAUUGUGAUUUUUUUAUGUUAUAAAGUCAACCUGUAGCUUUGCUAUAUAAAAAUGAUAGAAUCUGAAGCGAGAUGAUGUAUCAAAUACUCUUCCUUUGUACGUUUUCAAGACAAAAUAUUCAUCUCAAACACACCCUAACAUAAAAAAAGGUGCACUCGAUUUUCUCUUUUCGAUACAAUUGUUACCCAUUUAUGGGAUUUUUUUUUGAGUUA
Molecule: long non-coding RNA, 569 nt
Filed under: Mytilus galloprovincialis (Mediterranean mussel)
Lineage: Eukaryota; Metazoa; Mollusca; Bivalvia; Mytilida; Mytilidae
Source: RNAcentral